GGGAAGGUGGCUCAGUGGUAGAGCACUUGCCUCCCAUGCAGGAGGCCCUGGGUUCGAUUCCUCAGCACCCCA
This is a non-coding RNA of Dipodomys ordii (Ord's kangaroo rat), 72 nucleotides long. The record is from Rfam. Lineage: Eukaryota; Metazoa; Chordata; Mammalia; Rodentia; Heteromyidae.